Molecule: ribosomal RNA, 253 nt
Filed under: uncultured bacterium
Lineage: Bacteria
Description: partial 16S ribosomal RNA
Rfam family: Bacterial small subunit ribosomal RNA
Source: RNAcentral
UACGGAGGAUCCAAGCGUUAUCCGGAAUCAUUGGGUUUAAAGGGUCCGUAGGCGGUUUAAUAAGUCAGUGGUGAAAUCUGGUCGCUCAACGAUCAAACGGCCAUUGAUACUGUUAGACUUGAAUUAUUGGGAAGUAACUAGAAUAUGUAGUGUAGCGGUGAAAUGCUUAGAUAUUACAUGGAAUACCAAUUGCGAAGGCAGGUUACUACCAAUAUAUUGACGCUGAUGGACGAAAGCGUGGGGAGCGAACAGG